UGUGACCUUGUUGGAGGAAGUAUGUCACUGGGGGUAGGCUUUGGGGUUUCAGAAACCUAAGCCAGGCCCAGGGGCUCUCUCUCUAUCUCUUCUGCUUCCUGCAGGUCC
Molecule: microRNA precursor, 108 nt
Filed under: Cricetulus griseus (Chinese hamster)
Lineage: Eukaryota; Metazoa; Chordata; Mammalia; Rodentia; Cricetidae
Description: miRNA (ENSCGRG00000021745.1)
Source: RNAcentral